RNAcentral lists this ribosomal RNA (465 nucleotides) under Vreelandella stevensii. Its description in RNAcentral is "partial 16S ribosomal RNA". It matches the Rfam family "Bacterial small subunit ribosomal RNA", at positions 338 to 795 of the family's 1533-position model. The record is from RNAcentral. Lineage: Bacteria; Pseudomonadati; Pseudomonadota; Gammaproteobacteria; Oceanospirillales; Halomonadaceae.
CCUACGGGGUGCAGCAGUGGGGAAUAUUGGACAAUGGGCGAAAGCCUGAUCCAGCCAUGCCGCGUGUGUGAAGAAGGCCUUCGGGUUGUAAAGCACUUUCAGUGGGGAAGAAAGCCUUGGGGCUAAUACCCUCGAGGAAGGACAUCACCCACAGAAGAAGCACCGGCUAACUCCGUGCCAGCAGCCGCGGUAAUACGGAGGGUGCGAGCGUUAAUCGGAAUUACUGGGCGUAAAGCGCGCGUAGGCGGUCUGAUAAGCCGGUUGUGAAAGCCCCGGGCUCAACCUGGGAACGGCAUCCGGAACUGUCAGGCUAGAGUGCAGGAGAGGAAGGUAGAAUUCCCGGUGUAGCGGUGAAAUGCGUAGAGAUCGGGAGGAAUACCAGUGGCGAGGGCGGCCUUCUGGACUGACACUGACGCUGAGGUGCGAAAGCGUGGGUAGCAAACAGGAUUAGAUACCCCGGUAGUC